UACAGAGGGUGCAAGCGUUGUUCGGAAUUAUUGGGCGUAAAGCGCGUGUAGGCGGCCCUUUAAGUUGGGUGUGAAAGCCCUCGGCUUAACCGAGGAAGUGCGCCCAAAACUGGAGAGCUUGAGUACCGGAGAGGAUGGUGGAAUUCCCGGUGUAGAGGUGAAAUUCGUAGAUAUCGGGAGGAACACCAGUGGCGAAGGCGACCAUCUGGACGGAUACUGACGCUGAGACGCGAAAGCGUGGGGAGCAAACAGG
RNAcentral lists this ribosomal RNA (253 nucleotides) under uncultured bacterium. Its description in RNAcentral is "partial 16S ribosomal RNA". It matches the Rfam family "Bacterial small subunit ribosomal RNA", at positions 524 to 776 of the family's 1533-position model. The record is from RNAcentral.